AGGGUUGAAAACAUAACACUUCCCUCUUAGGCUUCUAGUCCUGCUCUGUUCUAGCUGCUCCUACCUGUUUAUUUGAUACUCAGAGAUCAGCCCGUGGAUAUACCUGCUUGCUUUGGCCCUGUGGCAGCUCAUUAAGGCUAUCUUAGCAGAUUCUUCUGUUCUCUGCGGACUGAGCACUCCGUCUUCUUUUUUGAUGGAAAGAAACCUUGAAUGGAUCAGUCUUUUAAAAAGAGGUCUCUUAAUAAAAAGUGCUAUGGAAAACAAAACCAAACCAAAAACCAAGGUAAAAGAGUCUAUACCAGUGGCUCUCAACCUUCCUACUGCCACAACCCUUUACAGUUCCUCAGGUUGUGGUGACCUCCAGCCAUAAAAUUAUUUUUGUUGCUACUUCUUAACUAAUUCUGCUACUGUUAUGAAUAGUAAUAUAAAUAUUUGUGUUUUCUGAUGUUCUUAGGUGACCCCAGUGAAUGGGUUAUUCAACCCACAGGCGUAUAUCACCUCACCCCUACAAUCCUGCUCCUUGAUAGGCUAUCCUAGGUCAGCUGACCCAGGCACUAUUAGGCCAGUUCCUAUCUUAAGCCUGUUUAUGAAUUACCUGUAGCCCAUUGUGGAUCAUCAGCUUUCUAGAUAACUCUAACAUUUUCCCCAUUCUCUUCCUUUCCAAAACUACCAGCCCAUUCUCAUUUGUAUGUUGCCAUCCUAUUAAUUGUUCUGAGGCUGAGUGUGUCUCGGGGAGCUUUUCAUUCAGUGACGGCUGACAGGCAAGCUCAGGAAGAACACAUCUAUACUGUAGGAUCAUACUUUGGAAAUGAUCUUUACCAGGUUUCCCAUUUUUGUAGACGAGGCAAACUUUCCCAUUCCCAUUGCAUGAAUCCAGCUCAAAUAUUGCACUGCGACAGUCAAAGUGAGGCUUCUCUAGCUGGUGGUCUUCAUUUCCUGUAAACCCAGAAAUCAACAGUAAUGUUCAAACUCAGCACUACUCAUACACCUUUACAAAGAUGGAAAAAUGGUGAAGAAUUCUAUGUUCUGAAUGCUCUGGGUUUCUUUCACUGAUGGAUCAGGCCUUCUUAUCACCAAUAGAAACUGAGAGACAAUCUGGUGGAAGAUGGCAUAAGGAAAAAUCACUGGACUUCCUGGGAAUGGAGCCAUAUAAAGGCAGAGCACUGUGAAUGUUAGGAUGCGGAUGGGAGUGUCUUCCUUUUCCUAGGUCACUGUAUAAGAAGAGAAUAUCAAGUACACCUCAUUCUUAAUUUCUGCACAGUAAUCCCAUGGGGAAGCCCUAGUCAGGUGGUAUAACUGACCCAUUACUUCUAGUGGUUGCUUCACGGCCUAUGGGAGUGGAUGAAUCAUAACUUGUUCCACCCCCAUUCAUAGAUAUUUACCUUAUCACCCUCUGAUGAUAGUACCAAAAUGUGUCUCACUUCUGGAUUUGUUCUAAUUCAUCUAUUUUCCCCCAUUAAAAACUAUUUUACUGCCUGGUAAUCUUUGAUUGGAUGCCAGAAAUUGUUAACCUUGUACUACUGAGUGCUAAAUGUUUUCUAUAAAUAUUCUUGAGCUUU
RNAcentral lists this long non-coding RNA (1559 nucleotides) under Mus musculus (house mouse). RNAcentral's name for it is "long non-coding RNA chr18:25140701-25142260". The record is from RNAcentral. Lineage: Eukaryota; Metazoa; Chordata; Mammalia; Rodentia; Muridae.